AGCCUGUGAGCCACACCUGCCUCUUCCCCAGGACUACCUAACCCUGGAGCUACUUACAUUUCCUAGGCAACUCUCUGCUUAGUUUGGGAAUUCUGUUGGCAUGUUACCUGGUUUGAGUACGCAAUCUAGCAAUGAGGAAAAGAGUCUAUUACAUUGUGUGGGCUAAAUUUCCCAUUUAAAAUUUAAUUGAACUGGUGUAAAAAGGAGAUGCAGGGAAAUUAGGGGAAGAAUAAGGAAAAAAGUAGGUUACAGAGUUUGUAUAUAAUUUAGGAGUUCUCAAAUUGAUCGGACUGGGUAAAUUGCAUUUUAGGAUAUUCGAAGCACUGUUGGAAGAAAUCACACAGUUACUGUCUUUGAAAAGAGAUGAAGAAUGAUGACAUGUUUGAAGAUGAGAUGAUUGGCCAGGAAAAUUCUCUGCUUCUGCUGAUGAUUGAACAGAAAUACAAUGCUUCCUGAAAGGGUUGUUUUGAAAGUUGAAUGAAAUUUGAUGAAAUGUUGGGAAAGGAUCUACCUGUUUAGACAUGAGUGCACCUUUCUAACCUCAGAAGACCUGCUGUUGAAUCAAAAUGGAUGGUAUUCAUAUAUUCAUUCAUGUACUGCAAAAUUUGCCUGCAUAAAAUUGCAAUGGGACAGAACAGCCAGAUGAUUAUUCUUCAGACUCUCUUACUACAAACAUCCUUGAAAACAAAGUGCUGUUCACAUAAAUGUUUAUGGAAAGUUAAUUCAAUAAAAGCAAAAAUGCAGGUUCUUUUCUCCAGGCUAAUUUUAUUUGGAGAUUCUGCUGCCUUUAUUACUGAGGAGUACUAUAAACAGCUUGAAUAAUCUCAAAGAAAUGAAUUUGUCUAUUCAACAAUAAGGUUCUAAUUAGUGUGAGUAACUGGGAGAGAAUCUGGACCUUACAGAUUUGGUGGGUAAUUUUUUUCUUCACUCUGCAUCCAUUUUGUUCUUUUGUUGUCUCAUGGAUCAUUUUGUUGUAUUCGUAGCCGUAAACUUUUUCAACAUUUAUCUUAGUGAUGAAACACAAACUUAGUCCAAAGUCUUUGAAGGCAGUGGAAUCAUUUCCAUUUAUUACUAUGGAAUUUCAAUUUGUCCUAAUGUGAUACAUGAAAAUAUAUUAAAAACUAAAAUUGCUUUUCCUUUGGAGUG
Long non-coding RNA from Gallus gallus (chicken), 1146 nucleotides. RefSeq lists it as uncharacterized. Lineage: Eukaryota; Metazoa; Chordata; Aves; Galliformes; Phasianidae. The record is from RefSeq and is a predicted model, not a curated record. The transcript is spliced from 3 exons.